This 430-nucleotide ribosomal RNA is filed under the name uncultured bacterium. RNAcentral's name for it is "bacterial SSU rRNA". It matches the Rfam family "Bacterial small subunit ribosomal RNA", at positions 355 to 776 of the family's 1533-position model. The record is from RNAcentral.
UGAGGAAUUUUGGACAAUGGGGGAAACCCUGAUCCAGCAACGCCGCGUGAGUGAUGAAGGUCUUCGGAUUGUAAAGCUCUGUCGAACGGGACGAGGGGUUAUGAGGCUAAUAUCCUUAUGAUCUGACGGUACCGUUGGAGGAAGUCACGGCUAACUACGUGCCAGCAGCCGCGGUAAUACGUAGGUGGCAAGCAUUGUUCGGAUUUACUAGGCGUAAAGGGCGUGUAGGUGGCCUUGUAAGUUGGGAGUGAAAUUUCGCAGCUUAACUGUGAAACUGCUUCCAAUACUGCUUGGCUUGAGUAUAGGAGAGGGAAAUGGAAUUCCUGGUGUAGCGGUGAAAUGCGUAGAUAUCAGGAAGAACACCUGUGGCGAAGGCGAUUUCCUGGCCUAAAACUGACACUGAGACGCGAAAGCUAGGGGAGCAAACAGG